RNAcentral lists this long non-coding RNA (613 nucleotides) under Elaeis guineensis (African oil palm). Its description in RNAcentral is "long non-coding RNA (EGUI_LNC010367)". The record is from RNAcentral. Lineage: Eukaryota; Viridiplantae; Streptophyta; Magnoliopsida; Arecales; Arecaceae.
CAAGGCUUCCCCUAUUCUUGUCUUCUUCUAUCCUUCCACUGAGCAAGCUACCGUCACCGGACGUGGCCAUGCUCGGAUUGCAAAUUGUCCAUGCCCUAGCCGUUGCUUCCGCUGGAUCAAUGGGAUCCCAAUCUCGAUUUCCUAGGUAUGCUUGCCCUGUUCAGUAACUGAAGCUACUUCUUCUCUUUCACUACACCAAACCCACGAACUUUCACCCAAACGCAUACAGUUGAUUCCACAGGUACCACGGGCAUGCUACUAAUAAUGUCUAUUGGACUUUGAAAAACCAGGAAGGGCGCGGAAGCUACCGUUUAACGAAUGCAAUGCAAGCAAGGUAGCUUGCUUACUCUCCGUCUAGCGUGCGUUGGCGGCAAGGAAGGAGGCAUUGGAAAGACUAGACCAUACACAAAAGUACAAGAGGCAUUCGGGAAGCGACUAGUCGCUUCUGGUGAAGCUUAACGAAGGCCGACCAGUACAUAGAGACAACUACCGCAGGCUGAAGCCACCGCCAUUGGUGCCAUGGGGUCGCCGCUUGCCAGGGUCUCUGUCGUGGAGUGGUUCCGUGGAAGGCUCCUCCCUUUCCCUGUUUCAACGCAGAGGAGGAGAAAACGAG